GGGCUUUUGGCACAGUUGGUAGCGCGCAUGCUUCGCAUUCGGGAGUGCAUGAGGUCGUGGGUUCAACUCCCACAGAGUCCA
Transfer RNA from Paxillus involutus ATCC 200175, 81 nucleotides. It matches the Rfam family "tRNA". From Rfam's summary of the family: Transfer RNA (tRNA) molecules are approximately 80 nucleotides in length. Their secondary structure includes four short double-helical elements and three loops (D, anti-codon, and T loops). Lineage: Eukaryota; Fungi; Basidiomycota; Agaricomycetes; Boletales; Paxillaceae. The record is from Rfam.